This 1231-nucleotide long non-coding RNA is filed under the name Anas platyrhynchos platyrhynchos (common mallard). Its description in RNAcentral is "lncRNA (ENSAPLG00000017809.1)". The record is from RNAcentral. Lineage: Eukaryota; Metazoa; Chordata; Aves; Anseriformes; Anatidae.
ACUUCUGCUCUUGCACCUGGAGCACCUCCUGCUAUUCUUUCUUUCCUGAUCUUGGUAUCUGCAGGGCUGUUUCACUCUACAUUUUCUCAACCCUAUCUCCCAGCUGCUGUUGCAAAGCAGAUUUUUCCUUUCUUAACAAUGGUCUCCCAAAGGCUCAACCAGUGUCACUCAUUGGUUCAGCUUUGUCCAGAAGCAAGUCUUUUUUGAAACAGACUGGACUCAUCUAUCUUAUCUAUCUAUCUCCUAGACUCUUUUCAUAGAGGAAACCCCUGCAGACCCCCUGCUACUAAAACCUUGUCACAGAAACCCAAUAUAAAAAGUUUGCUACAGUUUUUGUUUGUUUGUUUGUUUGUUUGUUUUUGUUUUGUUUUUACAAAAGCUAUUUUGUAGCUUUAAUUGUUUUGCCAAAAUUUAAAAUAUGGAAUGUCUUUACAGAAAUCAGGAUAGAUUUCUGCAAGGACUGCAAUCAAAUCAACACACACCAGUACCCCACAAGAGCCAAGAGUGACUCUAGGAAUAAAGUGGAACCAAAAUCAAGGAAGAGAAUGAUGAUGAGAGAGUGGGGCCCUUCUCUUUGGACAGUGUCAAGCUCUGCAAACUAACUUCAUCUUGUGAAGAUAGACCACAACAACUGCAAACUACAAGACCAAACUACAGCUAAAAGACCAUGGAUGCAAUAGAAGUACUUAAACCAUAUGAGCAAGCGUUUAUUUUAUACACUGUAUCAGUAGCAUAAUGGGAGAAAUGUCAGGUAGAAUUUAGAAAUACAUAACUGUAGAGUCCUCUAAAGAAACUUAAUAGUAUUUUGACUUAAGUUCCACAGUGUUCUCAUGAGCCUAGUAAGAACACUUAAAACUUUGAAAAAUUUACAGUUUGACAGAUUUGAAUUGGUAAAAGUGAUUUUGAAUUUCAGUUUGAAUUUACAUUUCUUCCUAUUUUAUGCAUACAGAUGAUUUUGCAUAUAUACUUAAAAAAGAAAAAAAGGAGAAAAAAAGAGAUUAAAAACAAAUUCUGCUUGAAGAGUGAGAAAGAUACGGUCUUCCUGCAAGGGUUGCAGCUGUCAUUUUCUGUCAAAAAAUGCUUUUAUAAAUAUUCAUGAAUUUUCCACUUAUUUUAUGCCAAUGCAAAUAUCUUGAACUUUUAAAAGUCAUACUUUAUCCCCAUCAAAAUUUUUAUAAUUCAAUAUGAUUAUAAUAAUAAAUCCAUAGUUAUUUUAGCUGGAUGUAAAGAU